GAUGAACGCUGGCGGCGUGCCUAAUACAUGCAAGUCGAGCGAACGGACGAGAAGCUUGCUUCUCUGAUGUUAGCGGCGGACGGGUGAGUAACACGUGGAUAACCUACCUAUAAGACUGGGAUAACUUCGGGAAACCGGAGCUAAUACCGGAUGAUAUUUUGAACCGCAUGGUUCAAAAGUGAAAGACGGUCUUGCUGUCACUUAUAGAUGGAUCCGCGCUGCAUUAGCUAGUUGGUAAGGUAACGGCUUACCAAGGCAACGGUGCAUAGCCGACCUGAGAGGGUGAUCGGCCACACUGGAACUGAGACACGGUCCAGACUCCUACGGGAGGCAGCAGUAGGGAAUCUUCCGCAAUGGGCGAAAGCCUGACGGAGCAACGCCGCGUGAGUGAUGAAGGUCUUCGGAUCGUAAAACUCUGUUAUUAGGGAAGAACAUAUGUGUAAGUAACUGUGCACAUCUUGACGGUACCUAUCAGAAAGCCACGGCUAACUACGUG
RNAcentral lists this ribosomal RNA (496 nucleotides) under uncultured bacterium. Its description in RNAcentral is "partial 16S ribosomal RNA". It matches the Rfam family "Bacterial small subunit ribosomal RNA", at positions 28 to 507 of the family's 1533-position model. The record is from RNAcentral.